This 72-nucleotide transfer RNA is filed under the name Streptomonospora nanhaiensis. RNAcentral's name for it is "tRNA-Pro". It matches the Rfam family "tRNA". Rfam says of the family: Transfer RNA (tRNA) molecules are approximately 80 nucleotides in length. Lineage: Bacteria; Bacillati; Actinomycetota; Actinomycetes; Streptosporangiales; Nocardiopsidaceae. The record is from RNAcentral. RNAcentral also lists the same sequence under 1 other name.
CGGCACGUAGCUCAGCAGAAGAGCACCCGGCUCGGGACCGGGAGGACGCGGGGGCGGAACCCGCCGUGCCGG